UUUUAUAACCCAAUCGAAAUUGUCUUGAAUAAAAUAGUUUUACAACCAAAUCAGAAAUUGUCUUGAAUAAAGAUAAUUAACCAGUACAUCUAUUGGUUUCCAAUGUGAUCCCACAUGUGCUCAACCAAGUCAUUUUGAAGCUGCAAAUAAGUGUUCCAAUCACGGAUUUCACGAUGGAAUAGGGUAAACUGCUCAAACGUGGCCGGUUCUUGGUGCAGGGGGCUCACCAUUGUUACCUUGAAAAUCAAAUCCUUGGUCGAAAAUGGAGUCAUCACGCUCGUCCUCGACGAUCAUGUUGUGCAUGAUCACACAAGCAAUCAUCACC
This 325-nucleotide long non-coding RNA is filed under the name Hordeum vulgare. RNAcentral's name for it is "long non-coding RNA (HVUL_LNC003681)". The record is from RNAcentral. Lineage: Eukaryota; Viridiplantae; Streptophyta; Magnoliopsida; Poales; Poaceae.